Molecule: ribosomal RNA, 871 nt
Filed under: uncultured bacterium
Lineage: Bacteria
Description: bacterial SSU rRNA
Rfam family: Bacterial small subunit ribosomal RNA
Source: RNAcentral
AGAGUUUGAUCCUGGCUCAGGAUGAACGCUAGCGGCAGGCCUAAUACAUGCAAGUCGAACGGAUAUAUGUUUUUCGGAAUAUAUAUUAGUGGCGCACGGGUGAGUAACACGUACAUAACUUGCCCUCAAGCGGGGGAUAGCCUUGGGAAACUGAGAGUAAUACCCCAUAGAAUUAUUGGACGGCAUCGUUUGAUAAUUAAAACUACGGUGCUUGGGGAUAGAUGUGCGUCUGAUUAGCUAGUUGGUGAGGUAAGGGCUCACCAAGGCGACGAUCAGUAGGGGGCGUGAGAGCGUGGCCCCCCACACGGGUACUGAGACACGGACCCGACUCCUACGGGAGGCAGCAGUAAGGAAUAUUGGUCAAUGGAGGGAACUCUGAACCAGCCAUGCCGCGUGAAGGAUGACGGCCCUCUGGGUUGUAAACUUCUUUUGGAUGGGGCGAAAAAACGGGAUUUAUCCUGGACUGACGGUACCAUCAGAAUAAGCACCGGCUAACUCCGUGCCAGCAGCCGCGGUAAUACGGAGGGUGCAAGCGUUAUCCGGAAUCACUGGGUUUAAAGGGUGCGUAGGCGGUUGUAUAAGUCAGGGGUGAAAGGAUGUAGCUUAACUGUAUAAUUGCCUUUGAUACUGUAUGACUUGAAUAAGGUUGAGGUUGGCGGAAUGUGACAUGUAGCGGUGAAAUGCUUAGAUAUGUCAUGGAACACCGAUUGCGAAGGCAGCUGACUGGGCCUUUAUUGACGCUGAGGCACGAAAGCGUGGGUAGCGAACAGGAUUAGAUACCCUGGUAGUCCACGCCCUAAACGAUGUAUACUCGUUGUUUGAGAGUAAUUUUGAGCGACCAAGCGAAAGCGUUAAGUAUACCACCUGGGGA